RNAcentral lists this unclassified non-coding RNA (253 nucleotides) under uncultured fungus. RNAcentral describes it as "sequence contains ITS1, 5.8S rRNA gene". The stretch from base 205 to 253 matches the Rfam family "5.8S ribosomal RNA", at positions 1 to 49 of the family's 154-position model. The record is from RNAcentral. Lineage: Eukaryota; Fungi.
UCUCCGUAGGUGAACCUGCGGAGGGAUCAUUACAGAGUUCAUGCCCUUCGGGGUAGAUCUCCCACCCUGUGUAUUAUUACCUUUGUUGCUUUGGCGGGCCGUUAGGCUUCGGCUUGGCUACCGGCUUCGGCUGGUAAGCGCCCGCCAGAGAACCCAUAACUCAACCUAUAUAUCGUGUCGUCUGAGUACAUACACAAUCGUGAAAACUUUCAACAACGGAUCUCUUGGUUCUGGCAUCGAUGAAGAACGCAGC